AUCAUACUCCCUCCAUCCCAAAAUUCUUGUCUUACAUGUAUUCAGGUAUGAAUGUAUCUAGUGACGCUUUAGUAUUUAGAUACAUUCACUUAGAGAUAAAUCUAAGACAAAUUUUUUGGUAUGGAGGGAGUAUAUC
Molecule: non-coding RNA, 136 nt
Organism: Hordeum vulgare subsp. vulgare (domesticated barley)
Lineage: Eukaryota; Viridiplantae; Streptophyta; Magnoliopsida; Poales; Poaceae
Source: Rfam